GCAGACGCAAAAGCGUCGUCUGUGGCGGCAGCUAGACAUCGGGCGACCCUCGUCCCGCCAGGUUUUGGGGUCGCGCAAACGAGCGACGGGGGCUGGGGCUCCGGAUUCAGGUGUUCUUUCUUCAGCGCUCACGGGUUUCUGUCCGUACGCGAUGCGAGCGAACGUCGCGGUCGAGGCUAGGGCCCCGAAGCCCGCAGUAAUCCACGUCUCCCGCCCGCUCCGGGCCCCCAGUGCCGCCGUCGCGGGCGGAGGCGCGAGGUCUGGGCUUUGGCGCCUUCGCAGCCGCAGGCGACAUCCUCUUUCCUAGCUAAAGCCCCAAACGCCCAGGUGGCUUCCUGGGAGAGCACGGCUGAGCCUCCGCCUUCAGAUCAGAACAGGCAGAGCCUCCAAGGGCGGCUUGGGCCCAGUGCCUGCUUAUCCUGCCCGUCUCUCCACACUUCUUCUUUCCCUGUCCGUUGGAGUCCAUUCCUUCCUGGAAAAGCCAAAGCCGCGCUCCCCUAAGAGGCCUGGAUGUGAAGGUGAGUGAGACGCCCUGGCCUCUGGGUGCAAAGGCCGGCGCCUGCCGCUUUCAACACUCAGGAGGCGCGUUUCAGCCCCGCUGGCCCCCGGCCGCAGACUCGGAGCGCUGAGCUCCCACCGUUCCCAUCACCCGACUCCCUUCCCAGGAAUGAGGAGCACCCGGGAAGCUUCAGCCACUACACGAAGGAGGCGCCAAGCCCAAACUCCUCCCCAGCUACCGGCGGGGUCAGUGCAGAGCCGCGGAGGGCACACAUGAACCCUGGCACGCAGCCUCAGGGAGGGGCAGGCUGGAAAUGACCCUGCCUGCAGCUGGGCCAUCAGCCUGACCACCUGCCCCCUGAGCAAACGUUGAUGCAGGUCGGGCGCGGUGGCUCAUGCCUGUAAUCCCAGCACUUUAGGAGCCCGAGGCAGGUGGAUCACCUGAGGUUAGGCGUUCACGACCAGCCUGGCCAACAUGGUGAAACACCGUCGCUACUAAAAAUACAAAAACUAGCCAGGCAUGGUAAUGGGGUGCACCUGUAGUCCAGCUACUCGGGAGGCUGAGGCCCGAGAAUCGCUUGAACCCAGGAGGCGGAGCUUGCAGUGAGCGGAGAUCACCACUCCAGCCUGGGUGACAGAGUGAGACUCCAUCUCAAAAAAAUUAAUUAAAGAAAAAACGCUGAUGCUUUCUGAAAUACAUUUUAUUAUCGCUGUACCAUUCUGGGGCACUGGAGAUGGCAGCUGAGAAGCAGAGAAGCUGGAGACCUGAAGCCUCCACCCUUGGCUGUGGCUGCCGAGAGAGGCCCCUGCAGAGGGAGCCCCAGGCCACACCCAGACACCACAGCCAGCUCACAGUGCGGCCAGAGGGCACAGGCUGCUUGGGGGGUGAGGGUCCCCAUUCCUGCCACCUCUCACAGACCAUGACCCACAGGGCUGGGGGCUUCCCCUGGGAGAAAGUCCUUCCCUCCCCAUGGCCCAGCCCUGGGGAAAGAAAGCAGAGACUAACUCAGGGACUGCAGUAGGCUGAGGACAAGGGAGGUGGGCUUGGGGUGAAGGCCCCCCCUCACUCGCAGAGAAGGGACACUACCGGCAGUAGAGGACAGGGAGGCAGGACGACGGCAGUUAGAGACGAGGCGUUUCAGGUGAACUGUAUGUAGUGUUACUCCGGACGUGAGCAUGGCCUGGGUCAGUCGAAUGAAAUGAGCUGGGCCUCGCUGCCCUGUGCCGGCGGCCCCUGUGCCUGCGGUUGCUGGGCCACGGGGGGCUGCUGCUGGGGGGGACCGCCAGAGGGUGCCAUCUGUGCAGGAGGAAAGCAGGCAUGGCCCUGGUCCUCCCUUCCCCAGCCCAGGGAGGAAGGCUUUUGUCCCAGCAGAGCCACAGACCCACAAGUGCUUGUAAUCCAUGUCCACGGACUGCAGCUCAUGCAGCCAGCUCAUGCGGCCUUUGCCUUUCAAGUAAAUUCACGGUUUUUCCUGUCUACACUUGCGGAUGCGCGUAUCUGCCCUGAGACUUGUGUCCUCGUUCUGUCUGCUGAGAAGGGGCCUCGGGUAUGCGUCUCCCCCUGUGAGCAGACGUACGGGACAAUCCCCACUGGGGCCAGGGGUCCCAUUGCUAAACCGUGAAGCCUGAGGGUGCCCUGCGGGUGCCGCUGUGAGGCCCCGGGAAUGGCUCACCUGCUGGUACAUGGGCUGCUGCCCCGCGAUGUAGGGCUGCUGGGGUGGCAGAGACGCAUCCUGGCUUGGGAGGGUGGUCAUGAGAUUCUGUUGUGAGAAGACGUCAGAUGUGAGAGAGUAGCCCUGUGACCAGGCAGGCGGGGAUGUUUCUGGCUUGCAACAAUCCAAAGGUGACCACAGGGAGCACCCAGAGAGUGGAGGGGGAGGAGCAGAAGGGGUGGAGCCCACCCAGUGCCUGCCAGCCUCACCAAAGGACCCUCAGCAUCAUCAACUGCUCCCCCACCCUGGCCCCCAGCAGGGCCUGGAGGUCACUGUACCUGCAUGUUGUAAGGCUGGUAGCCCAUGGAGACUGACUGGCUCCCCAUGUAGCCCAUGGUGCUGGACUGCGGAGGCUGAGAGAUGGCCGGGAGGCUCUGUGGGGCCUGGGAGGCCACGUUCUGCGGAGGGAAUGAGUGCCAUGGGAGAAGGGGCUGGGGCUGGGGCUGGGGCUGGGGCUGGCCCUGGAAGGAGAGGAGCGGCCUUCCUGUGUACCUGGUAGCCCGCUGUGGGAGUAGGCUGGUAGGAUGAGUAAGCGGGGCUGGCGGUGGGUCCGGCCUGGGCCUGGGGGGCCGCCUGCGCCCCAGUGGCCCCUGCUGGGUACAUGUAGGCACUCACCAUGCUGGGAUCUGUGACAAACAAGACAGGGGAGAUGGUUCAGCCAGGGCAACAGGGAGGAGAGGAAGGGACACCCUACUCUUGAGUUUUACUUUUUUUUUUUUUUUUUUGAGAUGGAGUCCUGCUCUGUCACCAGGCUGGAGUGCAGUGGCACAAUCCUGGCUCACUGCAACCUCUGCCUCCCGGGUUCAAGCGAUUCUCCUGCCUCAGCCUCCCGAGUAGCUGGGAUUACGGGCGUACGCCACUACGCCCGGCUAAUUUUUUUUUGUACUUUUAAUAAAGAUGGGGUUUCAUCAUGUUGGCCAGGAUUGUCUUGAUCUCCUGACCUUGUGAUCCGCCCGCCUCGGCCUCCCAAAGUGCUGGGAUUACAGGCGUGAGCCACCGCGCCCGGCCGAGUUUUACUUUUUUUUUGAGAUAGUCUGUCACGCAGGCUGGAGUGCAGUGGCGCGAUCUCAGCUCACUGCAACCUCUGCUUCCUGGGUUGAAGCAAUUCUCCUGCCUCAGCCUCCCGAGCAGCUGGGAUUACAGGCGUGCACCACCACACCCAGCUAAGUUUUUGUAUUUUUAGGAGAGACGGGUUUCACCAUGUUGGUCAGGCUGGUGUCAAACUCCUGACCUCAGGUGAUCCACCCGCCUCGGCCUCCCGAAGUGCUGGGAUUAUAGGCGUGAGCCACCGCCCGGCCAGGAGUUUUCCUUUUUGUUGUGACUUUUGGAACCAAGUUCAGGUUUCACGUUUCUAAAAAAAAGGAACAUAGGCGGGGCGUGGUGGCUCAUGCUUGUAAUCCCAGCACUUUGGGAGGCCGAGGCAGGCGGAUCAUGAUGGCAGGAGUUCGAGACCAGGCUGUCUAACAUAGUAAAACCCUGUCUCUAAUAAAAAUACAAAAACUAGCUGGGCAUGGUGGCAGGCGCCUGUAAUCCCAGCUACGCAGGAGGCUGAGGCAGGAGAAUUGCUUGAACCUGGGAGGCGGAGAAUGCCGUGAGCUGACGUCGCACCACUGCACUCCAGCCUGGGCGACAGAGCGAGACUUCGUCUCAAAAAAGAAGAUAAACCAACAAGGAUGGGAGGAGAAUCCUAGAAUGGAAUGAAAUCAGAAAAAAUGAACCAAACUGUAUUUGAAAUGAGUGACAUGGUCUGACCAAUGGGAUGGGAUAGUGAAUUCCAGUAACUUCUGAACCCAAAAUCUGGACUCCACGGCCUCAGGCUACAAAUGACAAGAACUACAGACAAAUGUUACACUCCAGUUAGGAGGCAUCGUCUCCACAGUGGGCCAGGUUAGCAUUCUUAAAACUACUUUUUGUGUAUUCUAGGGCUGAGCAAUUGAGUAUAUUGAAAACAAUGCAAAAGAAAACUGUGCUAUUGGAUUAAAAUUGCAAGUACUGGAAUUA
This 4211-nucleotide long non-coding RNA is filed under the name Homo sapiens (human). RNAcentral's name for it is "HSALNT0392177". The record is from RNAcentral. Lineage: Eukaryota; Metazoa; Chordata; Mammalia; Primates; Hominidae.